GGAUAUGAGGGUAACAUGGCUGCAACAUCUGUCACCUCAUUGAUCGUCACGGUUGAUGCCGCUGAUCCGGCUGGCUGGGUGGGUGUCCCCUUCCUCCCUCACCAUCGAUGUGCACCACCCACCAAUGCAGCGCUAUCAGCCAAAGGGGAAGAUGUCCCCCCAGAGGAGGACCUUUCUGUGGUCAAGAGUGGCUGUGCUGCCCUGCUAGAACCUCCACAUAAGCUCCAAAUGCUGGCAAGGUUGUGGAAUAACAGGGAAUGCUGUUGGGAAUGCAAAACGGCAUAACCACUUUGGAAGGUAGUUUGUCAGU
Molecule: small nuclear RNA, 310 nt
Filed under: Propithecus coquereli (Coquerel's sifaka)
Lineage: Eukaryota; Metazoa; Chordata; Mammalia; Primates; Indriidae
Description: 7SK RNA (ENSPCOG00000012207.1)
Rfam family: 7SK RNA
About the family: 7SK was discovered as an abundant small nuclear RNA in the mid-70s but a possible function has only recently been suggested. Two independent studies have found that 7SK RNA binds the CDK9/cyclin T complex (known as elongation factor P-TEFb).
Source: Rfam by way of RNAcentral